AUGGACGCCACCGUGGUACAGACCCUGAUCGCCAUCGUCGUGCUUUUGCUGAUCUCGAGGGCCCUGUGGUAUCUGGUGUGGAGGCCGUACUCCGUCACUCGGCGGUUUGAGCAGCAGGGGAUACGAGGGCCACCUUACAAACUCGUCGUUGGGUCCUUGUGGGAUAUCAAACAGAUGUUGGUUGCCCGGAGAGCAAAGGGGGCUCUGGAUAUCGGUAACCACGACUACACCUCCCGUGUCAGUCCCUUCUUUCACAAAUGGACCUCCGAUUACGGGAAAACAUUUCUGUAUUGGUUGGGGCCAAUACCGGCAAUAUGUUCUACUGACACAGAGCUAGUCAAGCAAGUGCUGGAUGACAGGACAAACUUGUUCCAAAAGGACUACCUAAAUCAAUGA
Molecule: ribosomal RNA, 396 nt
Filed under: Triticum aestivum (bread wheat)
Lineage: Eukaryota; Viridiplantae; Streptophyta; Magnoliopsida; Poales; Poaceae
Description: partial small subunit ribosomal RNA
Source: RNAcentral